UCCUGGCUGGCUCAGUCAGAAGAGCAUGAGAUUUUUGUUCUCAGGGUCAUGAGUUCAAGUCCCACGUUGAGUA
RNAcentral lists this transfer RNA (73 nucleotides) under Canis lupus familiaris (dog). It matches the Rfam family "tRNA". Rfam says of the family: Transfer RNA (tRNA) molecules are approximately 80 nucleotides in length. Their secondary structure includes four short double-helical elements and three loops (D, anti-codon, and T loops). The record is from Rfam by way of RNAcentral. RNAcentral also lists the same sequence under 3 other names. Lineage: Eukaryota; Metazoa; Chordata; Mammalia; Carnivora; Canidae.